GAUGAACGCUGGCGGCGUGCCUAAUACAUGCAAGUAGAACGCUGAAGGAGGAGCUUGCUCUUCUGGAUGAGUUGCGAACGGGUGAGUAACGCGUAGGUAACCUGCCUGGUAGCGGGGGAUAACUAUUGGAAACGAUAGCUAAUACCGCAUGACAACAGUUAUUGCAUGAUAACUGUUUAAAAGGGGCAACUGCUCCACUACCAGAUGGACCUGCGUUGUAUUAGCUAGUUGGUGAGGUAACGGCUCACCAAGGCGACGAUACAUAGCCGACCUGAGAGGGGGAUCGGCCACACUGGGACUGAGACACGGCCCAGACUCCUACGGGAGGCAGCAGUAGGGAAUCUUCGGCAAUGGACGGAAGUCUGAACGAGCAACGCCGCGUGAGUGAAGAAGGUUUUCGGAUCGUAAAGCUCUGUUGUAAGAGAAGAACGAGUGUGAGAGUGGAAAGUUCACACUGUGACGGUAUCUUACCAGAAAGGGACGGCUAACUACGUG
This 495-nucleotide ribosomal RNA is filed under the name uncultured bacterium. RNAcentral describes it as "partial 16S ribosomal RNA". It matches the Rfam family "Bacterial small subunit ribosomal RNA", at positions 28 to 507 of the family's 1533-position model. The record is from RNAcentral.